GGGAUUGCCUCAGUAACGGCGAGUGAAGCGGCAACAGCUCAAAUUUGAAAUCUGGCCCCUUCGGGGUCCGAGUUGUAAUUUGUAGAGAGUGUUUCGGGUGAGACCACGGUCUAAGUCCAUUGGAACAUGGCGUCAUAGAGGGUGAGAAUCCCGUAUGUGACUGUGGCUCGAACCCAUGUGAAGCCUCUUCGACGAGUCGAGUUGUUUGGGAAUGCAGCUCAAAAUGGGUGGUAAAUUUCAUCUAAAGCUAAAUACUGGCUGGAGACCGAUAGCGCACAAGUAGAGUGAUCGAAAGAUGAAAAGCACUUUGGAAAGAGAGUCAAACAGUACGUGAAAUUGUUGAAAGGGAAGCGCUUGCAACCAGACCUGUCCGUAGGUGAUCAGCCGCUGUUCUCAGUGGUGCACUCGCUCUGCGAUCAGGCCAGCAUCGGUUUCGGCGGCCGGAUAAAGGCCUUGAGAAUGUAGCUUCCCUUCGGGGGAGUCUUAUAGCCCUCGGUGCAAUGCGGCCAGCCGGGACCGAGGACCGCGCUUCGGCUAGGAUGCUGGCGUAAUGGUUGUAAGCGACCCGUCUUGAAACACGGACCAAGGAGUCUAACAUCUAUGCGAGUGUUUGGGUGUCAAACCCAUGCGCGGAAUGAAAGUGAACGGAGGUGAGAACCCUUAAGGGCGCAUCAUCGACCGAUCCAGAUGUCUUCGGAUGGAUUUGAGUAUGAGCAUAGCUGUUGGGACCCGAAAGAUGGUGAACUAUGCCUGAAUAGGGUGAAGCCAGAGGAAACUCUGGUGGAGGCUCGCAGCGGUUCUGACGUGCAAAUCGAUCGUCAAAUUUGGGUAUAGGGNGCGAAAGACUAUC
This 850-nucleotide ribosomal RNA is filed under the name Montanelia sorediata. RNAcentral's name for it is "eukaryotic LSU rRNA". It matches the Rfam family "Eukaryotic large subunit ribosomal RNA", at positions 71 to 936 of the family's 3401-position model. The record is from RNAcentral. Lineage: Eukaryota; Fungi; Ascomycota; Lecanoromycetes; Lecanorales; Parmeliaceae.